UGGGCGUCCGGUAGAAACUGCGUGGCUUGGGACCGGAAGGCGCGACGGGUACGUCCGGGGUAGGAGUGAAAUCCCGUAAUCCUGGACGGACCGCCGAUGGCGAAAGCACGUCGCGAGAACGGAUCCGACAGUGAGGGACGAAAGCCAGGGUCUCGAACCGGAUUAGAUACCCGGGUAGUCCUGGCCGUAAACAAUGUCUGCUAGGUGUGGCUCCCACUACGAGUGGGUGCUGUGCCGUAGGGAAGCCGCUAAGCAGACCGCCUGGGAAGUACGUCCGCAAGGAUGAAACUUAAAGGAAUUGGCGGGGGAGCACUACAACCGGAGGAGCCUGCGGUUUAAUUGGACUCAACGCCGGACAUCUCACCAGCAUCGACUGUAAUAAUGACGAUCAGGUUGACGACCUUAUCCGAGUUUCAGAGAGGAGGUGCAUGGCCGCCGUCAGCUCGUACCGUGAGGCGUCCUGUUAAGUCAGGCAACGAGCGAGACCCGCACCCUUACUUGCCAGCAGUACCGCGAGGUAGCUGGGGACAGUAGGGGGACCGCCGUGGCUAACACGGAGGAAGGAACGGGCAACGGUAGGUCAGUAUGCCCCGAAUGUGCUGGGCAACACGCGGGCUACAAUGGUCGAGACAAAGGGUUCCUACUCCGAAAGGAGACGGUAAUCUCAGAAGCUCGAUCGUAGUUCGGAUUGUGGGCUGCAACUCGCCCACAUGAAGCUGG
RNAcentral lists this ribosomal RNA (720 nucleotides) under uncultured Halobacteria archaeon. RNAcentral's name for it is "bacterial SSU rRNA". It matches the Rfam family "Archaeal small subunit ribosomal RNA", at positions 567 to 1285 of the family's 1478-position model. Lineage: Archaea; Methanobacteriati; Methanobacteriota; Halobacteria. The record is from RNAcentral.